UGAAAGUGGAUGCCUUGUCCUGAGUUGCCCAUUGACUGUAGCAUUGCUUGAGGUGGUCCAGGGGUCCUCCUACAUUGAGCUCAUUGCUAAAUUUAGGCUUAUACCAUUUAAUCUCAAAUAUAAUGUACACUUUUUUCCAAAUUUUUUGGGUCAAAGUUGGGGUGCACAUUAUAUAUAGGAAUUAUUGUGUAAAUUUUGAUUUUGGCAGUUCCAUGUCAGAAGACGAUGAAUCUCCGCUAUGCUGUGCCACGCUAAGACAGCAGUAAACAUGAAGUCAACAUCAACUGAAAUGUGGAUGCUGAAAUUUCUUGUGGCUGGACGGUGGUUGGGUCAGGAGCUGAAAUCAUUGAAAGCUGAAGUCAUUCAUGGCAGUACUGGGUUUUUAUCCAGAGUCAAAAAUCCAUCUUGAGCAGUGAGCGGAGUGGUGGCAGACUACAGUGAGUAACCAGUUCCUUUUCUACACUCAAACUCUGUGCUUGUGAGUGUGGCAGUAUUGCCUUUCAGAGAUGCCCAGAGUGGUGUGUGAAUUUCUCAAGUGACUGGGUUGGGGAUGAAUUCAUUUCUGAAUUGAAUGGAUGAAGGAGAACACUUAGACAUUGAACCCAGCCCUGGCUACUACUGGCUCCACCUGGAAGAAGGGAGAUCACAAAAGCUAAAAUUUUACAAAAGCCUGAAUUCCAGCUCAGGCCACCACAGCACUCGGCACCAUGGAGCCGGAGCUGCCCCUGGGCACUAUGAUGCUCAUUUUGGACACAUUGCUGCAAACCUGGCUGCACUUUCUGCAGGCUGCCUCGCAGCAGCUGCUGCAGCCCAACCCCCAUGCCCUCCUCGGGACCCUCCUGAAGGACGGGGAAGAGCAGCUGCAGCUCCUGAAUGCCAGUGUACCCUGUCACAUCUGGCAUCUGGACACCAGCAGUGACCGGUGGGACCACGUUGUCCUGGAGUGCUGGGGAGAUCAACAUGAGGCCCUCCAUUUCCCCACCACAAGUGUGUGGCCAUCAGCCUAUGGAAGCUUUCCACACCAUAUAGCUACUGAUCCAUGGCAAACCAGUUCGGCGUGGGGAGAUCCACCAUCAGAGCAGUGCUCAUGC
Non-coding RNA from Pelodiscus sinensis (Chinese soft-shelled turtle), 1091 nucleotides. The record is from RefSeq and is a predicted model, not a curated record. Lineage: Eukaryota; Metazoa; Chordata; Testudines; Trionychidae.